Molecule: unclassified non-coding RNA, 646 nt
Organism: Drosophila serrata
Lineage: Eukaryota; Metazoa; Arthropoda; Insecta; Diptera; Drosophilidae
Source: RefSeq, a predicted model, not a curated record
UUCAUUUUAUACACAUUUCGUAUGACAGAUGUCAAAAUCAAAGUAAAUUUGUUUCUAUUUUAUAUUUAUGGAUGGGAAAAAAUGUGCAAAAAUUGUAGCGAUCUUACCAUUCGAUUGGAGUGCAUCAUAUGGUCCAUUGCCGAAAUAGUAUUCAGUGUGGCCUUUAUAGGUUUUAUUUGUGGACGCCAUGAGGUUCACAACAUUAUCCUUUUGGCAGCCUUGAGCCUCGGAAUUCUGGCAGGAUUUUGCCUCUUGCUGGGUGCUAUCCUGUUUCCAGAGAAAGCGCUUUCUAGUGCUGACCUGGAUAGUGCUGAUAUGUCCAACGAUUGUCAUAGUUAUCAGUAUGUCCUGCCUCAUACUGAAAGAGAACUGGAACUUUCUUCCUGGGUUCGAUAAGGCGCGGAAGAUAAUUGCGUUGAUCAUAAUCGUGUGUUGGAUCAUAUACAUGGUAUAUUUAUCAUGUCUAUUUAUUCGCGAAAUCAAGACGGGAGAAAGGCAGAAGCGUUAUCCGGACUGUGUUGGGGGACAUUAUCCCCGAGGAGCGCUCCGCGAAAGGACAAGAUCUAAUUUACAAGACAAUUCAGCAAUUGCAGUGAAAUUAUGAUAAUAAAAACUUUAAAACCUGCCGUUGGUUUAUUUAACUUUA